CGAACAACCAUAAUUUACGUGCUCUCGACACAAUCUGAUGCAAAAAUUGCAAACUGGUUCCACUAUAAACCACAACGGCACCCGACAGUCCGGAACAGCCUGUACACUACUGUAAAAAUACACUCAGCAUCUCAACACGAGCGUAAAUGCAUUCUACACUAUUCUGGGUAUCCACUGCCCACAAACUGCGGUGAUACUAACAAAGUACGGCUCCGAGAGCUAAAUCUGGUAGUUUCAGAGAAUGACGGUGUAGAAUCGAUAGUUUUCUCCUAAGUCAAUUCUAAGUCCAACAUGCAUAAUUUAGCUAAUAUUCUAAGCUCCAAUUUAGAUUUAAAACCAUGCAAAUUAAAGAAUCGAGCUACUAAAUAUGCUAAACGAAGCUAAAGACAUGCUGU
RNAcentral lists this long non-coding RNA (395 nucleotides) under Ananas comosus (pineapple). RNAcentral's name for it is "long non-coding RNA (ACOM_LNC013775)". Lineage: Eukaryota; Viridiplantae; Streptophyta; Magnoliopsida; Poales; Bromeliaceae. The record is from RNAcentral.